GAUGAAGAACGUAGUGAACGUGCGAAACGUAAUGUGAAUUGCAGAAUUCAGUGAAUCAUCGAAUCUUUGAACGCAUCUUGCGCUCCUUGGUAUUCCGAGGAGCAUGCCUGUUUGAGUGUCGUGAAAUACUCUCAAUUUCAAUCUUUUUGUUUGAAAUUGGAUUUGGGCGUUGUCGUGAAUUCACGACUUGCCCUAAAUGCAUUGGCGAUCCCUGUCUUUGAUCACACAAUGUGAUAAUAAAAAAACAUUGUUACAGUCGAGUCAAGGUUGCUUCUAACUGUCUGUCACCAGACAACCAUUACAUGUCAUUUGACCUCAAAUCAGGUAGGACUACCCGCUGAACUUAAGCAUAUCAAUAAGCGGAGGA
This 367-nucleotide unclassified non-coding RNA is filed under the name soil metagenome. RNAcentral describes it as "partial contains 5.8S ribosomal RNA, internal transcribed spacer 2, and large subunit ribosomal RNA". The stretch from base 1 to 121 matches the Rfam family "5.8S ribosomal RNA", at positions 35 to 154 of the family's 154-position model. The record is from RNAcentral.